This 87-nucleotide transfer RNA is filed under the name Barrientosiimonas humi. Its description in RNAcentral is "tRNA-Leu(gag)". It matches the Rfam family "tRNA". Rfam says of the family: Transfer RNA (tRNA) molecules are approximately 80 nucleotides in length. Their secondary structure includes four short double-helical elements and three loops (D, anti-codon, and T loops). The record is from RNAcentral. Lineage: Bacteria; Bacillati; Actinomycetota; Actinomycetes; Micrococcales; Dermacoccaceae.
GUCCGGGUGGCGGAAUUGGCAGACGCGCUAGCUUGAGGUGCUAGUCCCCGUCAAGGGGGUGGGGGUUCAAGUCCCCCCUCGGACACC